This 543-nucleotide long non-coding RNA is filed under the name Gallus gallus (chicken). The record is from RNAcentral. Lineage: Eukaryota; Metazoa; Chordata; Aves; Galliformes; Phasianidae.
GUCCCUGUAGUCCAGGUAGGCCAUUUGGGCCUCUGUCUCCCCGGGGCCCAAUAAAGCCUGGAGGACCUGGAUAUCCUUCCCGACCUGGAUCACCUCGUGUACCAUUUAGCCCUGGGAAUCCCACUGGGCCUGGAUCACCCGGGAAUCCUCUUGCACCUUUAGUACCUGUGGCUCCUGGCAGCCCUGGGUUGCCUUGAGAUCCCUUUGGUGGCCUCACGCAGCCUCCACCUGACCAUAUUGGAUCAGUUGCUUCUCCUCUAGAAAAAUCUUCAAUCACCUGCCCGCAGUCUAAUUGGCCAGGCUCUCCUGGUGGACCAGGCAGACCUGGAGGCCCAGGGUGUCCAUCUGUUCCACGGUCACCUGGAAGACCACGGUAUCCUUUUGGGCCAGGAUAUCCUUCACCUGGUAGGCCUAUUUCUCCUGGAAAGCCCUUUGGGCCUAAUUCUCCUGGAUAACCAGGAUCCCCGGGGAGACCUCUGAUACCAUCACCCGGAAGGCCAGGCAGUCCUGGUAAACCAUCUAAUCCAUCUCUGCCUGGGAAAC